This 443-nucleotide long non-coding RNA is filed under the name Capra hircus (goat). Its description in RNAcentral is "lncRNA (ENSCHIG00000005741.1)". Lineage: Eukaryota; Metazoa; Chordata; Mammalia; Artiodactyla; Bovidae. The record is from RNAcentral.
GCCUGGGCUGCAGGCCCGUGAGCGGAGCCGGGCACCGUGGGCUCUGGAGUCUGGCGGAGCGUUCACCUGCGGCGGGUCCCAUUGCGUGGCCUCCAGUGGUGUCGCCAGCCUCGGUCCUGUCUUUGUGGCGCGGAAAGGAGAGAGGCCCCUCCACUGGAGCUUUCUCAGACUCAUCACCCCGGCCUGAACCGGCACCUCGUGAGAAUAGACCCAGCGAGGUUAAAAUGGCCGCCCUUUACGCGGGAGGCUGGAAGACCCUGGUGGACAGUUCCUGAGACCCAGUCUUCAAAAGGAUACCUGCCAAUAGAACCCUCAACUUUUAGAGGAUAAAGUUUGAAAGGAAAACACAACUGUGAAGACUUCUGUGUGACCUGGAAAAUGUAUCCCCCUGAGCUUUAGUUUCCUUGUCUAUGAAAUAAAGAGAUUGGAAUAAAAGACCGUCU